Monomorium pharaonis (pharaoh ant) is the source of this 1210-nucleotide long non-coding RNA. RefSeq lists it as uncharacterized. The record is from RefSeq and is a predicted model, not a curated record. NCBI's taxonomy places the organism in Eukaryota, Metazoa, Arthropoda, Insecta, Hymenoptera, Formicidae. The transcript has 2 exons.
UGAAAAUGACGACGCAGCCGACAACAAACGAGAGCUGCGGCGCGUGAAGAGUAUCUCGAGCUGUCUCGAGCAGAGAAUCCUGCACUGCAGUCACGUCGAUGAAAUGCUAUAUACUUGUUACACUUUCCACACUGGAAACGAAAUGAGGACAUGGAGAGGAAUGGAGACACACCAAAAGUUUAACUACAAAGAUCAAAACUAUGGAUAUAUCUCGAACUCGAUAUUAACUCAUAUGAUCGAAGCUACGUGAGCUUGUUAGGACUUCCCCCUCCCUCCUCCACUGUUCGCGUUUUCAAUGCAGCUUCUAAAGUUCUAUAAUUUAUUUCAGGCAGGCAUAAUGCAGAGAUGCGUCGCAAGAAUGGAGGAGAAAUUCUAUUCAAAAUAAUUGAUUAGAGAAUAAAAGUAUAUAUAUAUAUAUUAUUCGUGUACAUUACGACGAUCAUAACUGAAUGUGCACUCUUUCUCGCAGUUUUAUUAAUAUAAACAAUAAUAAAACUUUAUUUGCCACAAUCAGUAUUACUAUCUAGCCAUGAAAAGUUAUAUACACCAUUUUUCAAGUAACUAGCACGACGCGUGGUACACAAUAAAUAAUUUCCUUGCCACUUUAAAUGCCAACAAGACGUAAAAUACAAUUCAACUUACAUUGACGUAGUUUUAAAUUAUUUAAGAAGUGCAUGCAAACUCUUCACGUGUAUGUAGAAAUAUAUAUGUAUAUAUAUAUAUUUUUUUUUUUUAUAUAUAACGUAACUCUAAUAUUAUUCUUUAUUUGUAAACUUAUUUUCACGUAUGUAACUAUUUACCAAAACCAUAUUUUAUUGGUGAGUAAAGCCAUUAAACAGCAUUAAUAAAAUUGAUGCAUUGUAGCGUCAAGGUAACGACGCUACGCGGAAGUACGCGAAUAUUUGCAAAUGUAACAUCCUAUUGUGUUCUGUUGCGAUGAAAUUUUACAAUGCUAAAAUGCACCAUAGAAGUUCCAUACAUCUAUCUUGUUACUUUCAUGCGUGUAAAAUAAACCGUUGGAGACGCGCACGCAUUUAGACCUGGUGUACAAUAGUUGGAGUAACUAUGGAGUAAGAAAUAAGAGUAAGGUAAUUUCUUUUUGCGCUGUGAUUAACCGAGCGUUAAGAAAAGCAGGAGUAGGAGUAAGACAAAAUGAAAAUAAUUUAUUUCGCUUACGCCCUUACGCCAACUUUCUUAUACUGGAUUAAUC